UACAGAGGGGGCAAGCGUUGUUCGGAAUUACUGGGCGUAAAGGGCGCGUAGGCGGCCUGCUAAGUCGAACGUGAAAUCCCCGAGCUCAACUCGGGAACUGCGUCCGAUACUGGCAGGCUUGAAUCCGGGAGAGGGAUGCGGAAUUCCAGGUGUAGCGGUGAAAUGCGUAGAUAUCUGGAGGAAUACCGGUGGCGAAGGCGGCAUCCUGGACCGGCAUUGACGCUGAUGAGCGAAAGCUAGGGGAGCAAACGGG
RNAcentral lists this ribosomal RNA (253 nucleotides) under uncultured bacterium. RNAcentral describes it as "partial 16S ribosomal RNA". It matches the Rfam family "Bacterial small subunit ribosomal RNA", at positions 524 to 776 of the family's 1533-position model. The record is from RNAcentral.